Molecule: small RNA, 152 nt
Filed under: Cronobacter turicensis
Lineage: Bacteria; Pseudomonadati; Pseudomonadota; Gammaproteobacteria; Enterobacterales; Enterobacteriaceae
Description: RtT sRNA
Rfam family: RtT RNA
About the family: This family represents a bacterial cis-regulatory element known as RtT RNA. The exact function of RtT is unknown although it is thought that it may be involved in changing the cellular response in relation to amino acid starvation.
Source: RNAcentral
UAUCUCGCCGACCCGGGAGAGAUGAGAAGCCUCGACCAGGGUUCGACCACUGGCGCAGCCAGUGGGACAGUCUGCGAGCCCUGCGAGCCCUGCGAGCUGACUGCCCGCAGGGUGAGGCCCAACGGGCCGAAUCAAUCCCUCCCUCACCGCCA